Molecule: ribosomal RNA, 482 nt
Filed under: uncultured bacterium
Lineage: Bacteria
Description: partial 16S ribosomal RNA
Rfam family: Bacterial small subunit ribosomal RNA
Source: RNAcentral
AUUGAACGCUGGCGGCAUGCUUUACACAUGCAAGUCGAACGGUAACAGGCCGCAAGGUGCUGACGAGUGGCGAACGGGUGAGUAAUGCAUCGGAACGUGCCCAGUCGUGGGGGAUAACUACUCGAAAGAGUAGCUAAUACCGCAUACGAUCUAUGGAUGAAAGCGGGGGACCGUAAGGCCUCGCGCGAUUGUAGCGGCCGAUGUCAGAUUAGGUAGUUGGUGGGGUAAAGGCUCACCAAGCCAACGAUCUGUAGCUGGUCUGAGAGGACGACCAGCCACACUGGGACUGAGACACGGCCCAGACUCCUACGGGAGGCAGCAGUGGGGAAUUUUGGACAAUGGGCGCAAGCCUGAUCCAGCAAUGCCGCGUGCAGGAAGAAGGCCUUCGGGUUGUAAACUGCUUUUGUACGGAACGAAACGGCUCUGGUUAAUACCCGGGGCUAAUGACGGUACCGUAAGAAUAAGCACCGGCUAACUACGUG